GACGAACGCUGGCGGCGCGCCUAACACAUGCAAGUCGAACGGAGCUUAGAGAGCUUGCUUUUUAAGCUUAGUGGCGAACGGGUGAGUAACGCGUGAGUAACCUGCCCUAGAGUGGGGGACAACAGUUGGAAACGACUGCUAAUACCGCAUAAGCCCACGGUACCGCAUGGCACUGAGGGAAAAGGAUUUAUUCGCUUUAGGAUGGACUCGCGUCCAAUUAGCUAGUUGGUGAGGUAACGGCCCACCAAGGCGACGAUUGGUAGCCGGACUGAGAGGUUGAACGGCCACAUUGGGACUGAGACACGGCCCAGACUCCUACGGGAGGCAGCAGUGGGGGAUAUUGCACAAUGGGGGAAACCCUGAUGCAGCGACGCCGCGUGGAGGAAGAAGGUUUUCGGAUUGUAAACUCCUGUCGUUAGGGACGAUAAUGA
This 431-nucleotide ribosomal RNA is filed under the name uncultured bacterium. RNAcentral's name for it is "bacterial SSU rRNA". It matches the Rfam family "Bacterial small subunit ribosomal RNA", at positions 28 to 454 of the family's 1533-position model. The record is from RNAcentral.